Molecule: small RNA, 931 nt
Filed under: uncultured Trichosporon
Lineage: Eukaryota; Fungi; Basidiomycota; Tremellomycetes
Description: eukaryotic LSU rRNA
Rfam family: Eukaryotic large subunit ribosomal RNA (bases 645-931)
Source: RNAcentral
CUUGGUCAUUUAGAGGAAGUAAAAGUCGUAACAAGGUCUCCGUAGGUGAACCUGCGGAGGGAUCAUUACACAAUAUGAAGGCGGGCUGGACACCCUCCAGCCGGGCACUGCUUCACGGCGUGCGCGGCUGGAGCCGGCCCUGCUGAAUUAUUCACCCGUGUCUUUUGCGUACUUCUUGUUUCCUGGGUGGGCUCGCCCGCCAUCAGGACCAACCAUAAACCUUUUUGUAAUAGCAAUCAGCGUCAGUAACAACGUAAUUAAUUACAACUUUCAACAACGGAUCUCUUGGUUCUGGCAUCGAUGAAGAACGCAGCGAAAUGCGAUACGUAGUGUGAAUUGCAGAAUUCAGUGAAUCAUCGAAUCUUUGAACGCACCUUGCGCUCCUUGGUAUUCCGAGGAGCAUGUCUGUUUGAGUGUCAUGAAACUCUCACCCUCUAGCUUUCUUAAUCGUGGCUAGCGGCGUGGACGUGAGCGCUGCUGCUUUGUUGCGGCUCGCUCGAAAUGUAUUAGCAGACCCUUUUCGUAAUCGGUUCCACUCAACGUGAUAAGUAUUUCGUUGAGGACAGUUGCAGCAAUGCGGCUGGCCGGGAUAAGAAAGGCAUAGUUGUCAGCUUCUAAUCGCCCUCGGGCAAUUUUUUAUGAUCUGGCCUCAAAUCAGGUAGGACUACCCGCUGAACUUAAGCAUAUCAAUAAGCGGAGGAAAAGAAACUAACAAGGAUUCCCCUAGUAACGGCGAGUGAAGCGGGAUGAGCUCAAAUUUAAAAUCUGGCGGUCUCAGAUCGUCCGAGUUGUAGUCUAGAGAAGCGUUUUCCGUGCUGGCCUGUGUACAAGUCCGUUGGAACACGGCGUCAUAGAGGGUGAGAAUCCCGUCCUUGACGCAGAUCUCCAGUGCUUUGUGAUGCGCUCUCAAAGAGUCGAGUUGUUUGGGAAU